AUUGAACGCUGGCGGCAUGCCUAACACAUGCAAGUCGAACGAUCACGCGCGUUCGGGUGUCUUCGGGUGGUGGAGGGGUGCGGAAUACUACGGAAUGUGCCAGAUAGCGGGGGGUAACGGGGAGAAAGCUUUGAUAAUACCGCAUACGAGCUAAUGUUUAAAGCAGGGGGGUGCAAGGGUUUGCGCCGCUCGUGCUGCCGAUGGCAGAUUAGGUAGUUGGUGGGAUAAAAGCUUACCAAGUCGACGAUCAGUAGCUGGUCUGAGAGGAUGAUCAGCCACACUGGGACUGAGACACGGCCCAGACUCCUACGGGAGGCAGCAGUGGGGAAUUUUGGACAAUGGGCGAAAGCCUGAUCCAGCCAUGCCGCGUGCAGGAUGAAGGCCUUCGGGUUGUAAACUGCUUUUGUACGGAACGAAAAGACUUGUUUUAAUACAGGAGGAUCAUGACGGUACCGAAAGAAUAAGCACCGGCUAACUACGUG
This 482-nucleotide ribosomal RNA is filed under the name uncultured bacterium. RNAcentral's name for it is "partial 16S ribosomal RNA". It matches the Rfam family "Bacterial small subunit ribosomal RNA", at positions 30 to 507 of the family's 1533-position model. The record is from RNAcentral.